This 1677-nucleotide long non-coding RNA is filed under the name Nicotiana benthamiana. Its description in RNAcentral is "long non-coding RNA (NBEN_LNC003137)". Lineage: Eukaryota; Viridiplantae; Streptophyta; Magnoliopsida; Solanales; Solanaceae. The record is from RNAcentral.
AUGUUGAUAUCAGAUUCGCUAUUUGUGUUGAUUGGUGGUUUGAUCAGUUGUGGGUGUUCUCUUUUUGGUCGGUUUGUUAAGAGUCUGGAGUAUUUAUGAGGUGGUCGUGUUCUGUGCUUAUCGACACAUAAAUCAUAUGCAUGCAUGUGUGGCUUUUUGUUUUGUAGUGAUAAUAGAACUGGAAUUGAAUGUAGAAGGUUUAGCAGACGCAUAAGGUUCUUUAUUUGUUGAUUGAGGUUUGAGUGUUGUCCCAUGUUCUUGAACAGAAGGCACAUAUAGUCACGUGCACUUAUGUAACCGUUCCUUAAUGGUGUUUAGAGCAUAAAUUUUAAGUCAGAGGUUUUAGAAGAUGCAUAAGAUGGUAGCUUUGUUGGUUAAGUUGCCUUGAUAGAGAUGCUACCAUUGCUGUUUCCUUAUAUGAAGCACCAGGAACUUGUGAAUGCUUGAAGACUGUGCUGGGAUUAAUGUUUUAUGUGUGGAACAAAUUCAAUUGGUGGAGUUGUUCAAUCGUGGAAAGCAUGUUUUUGUGCUUGUUAUUCCCACUUAAUUCCUUUCUUGGGAAACAACAAAGGUUUUGGAUUAUUCCUGUCGGUAUUUGAAUUCUGUGAUAAUAACAGAAUAACCCCUCUUUGACAAGAGGUGUUGCUCUGAUGGUAAGCAACCCCACUUCCAACCGAGAGGUUGUGAGUUCAAGUCUCCCAAGAGCAAGGUGUGAAGUUCUUGGAGGGAAGGAUGCCGGGUCUAUUUGGAAACAGCCUCUCUACCCAAGGGUAGGGGUAAAGUCUGCGUACACACUACCCUCCCCAGACCCCACUAANNNNNNNNNNNNNNNNNNNNNNNNNNNNNNNGCAAGGUGUGAAGUUCUUGGAGGGAAGGAUGCCGGGUCUAUUUGGAAACAGCCUCUCUACCCAAGGGUAGGGGUAAGAUCUGCGUACACACUACCCUCCCGGACCCCACUAAGUGGGAUUAUACUGGGUUGUUGUUGUUGUUGUUGUUGAUAAUAACAAAAUAACUAGUUUUCCAGUUGUGGGACAUUUAUUACACGUUUCCUGAAUCAAGAAGAAUUGGGGUGUGCAAUUCCUGGAAACGACAAAUUUGCAGGUUACUCAAAUUGUCCAAAUAUUUUCCAGAUGCAUGAUAGACACAUUCAUUAUAAGGAAGUGUUGUCUAUUAUACUUCCUGUUGGAAUUAAUUGGAACUUGGAGUAGCCGAAAGUAACAAAAUAGCUCAUUUUGUGACAAUUGAUGCGUGCUCACCACGUGCCCAAGUUGGAAGGUGUUUCCUUUUUUACUUCAAACCGGACUGGGAUAAAUAAAAACUUUGGAAUGAUAUGACUGUUAAUUCUGGUGAAGUGCUUCUGGUGUUUGUUGUUUUCAGUAGUUUCUAUAUAACUGUUAACUCUUGUAUAUCAUUAGUUAUUCCAUCCUGGGUAGUAAAGUCAGCUACUUCUUGCACGGUGAGCAUGUUCUCAUGCUCAUUAAUAUCUUUUGCUUAUUAAGAUCUUGUCUUCAUUGGUCUGAUCAAUGUCAUGACGGAUCUCAUUGACUUCAUUUCUUUUACACUCUAGAUUUCCUUCUUAUUGUCCGGGAAUUAAAUGUCAUUCAGAUUAUUUGUUGUCACAUCCGCGCUGCAGUUGCAGAUUUAGAUAAGAGGGACUAUUUGACUUAUUUCCUUCUG